This 520-nucleotide ribosomal RNA is filed under the name Weissella cibaria. RNAcentral describes it as "bacterial SSU rRNA". It matches the Rfam family "Bacterial small subunit ribosomal RNA", at positions 1 to 475 of the family's 1533-position model. The record is from RNAcentral. Lineage: Bacteria; Bacillati; Bacillota; Bacilli; Lactobacillales; Lactobacillaceae.
CAAAUUGAGAGUUUGAUCCUGGCUCAGGAUGAACGCUGGCGGCGUGCCUAAUACAUGCAAGUCGAACGCUUUGUGGUUCAACUGAUUUGAAGAGCUUGCUCAGAUAUGACGAUGAACAUUGCAAAGAGUGGCGAACGGGUGAGUAACACGUGGGAAACCUACCUCUUAGCAGGGGAUAACAUUUGGAAACAGAUGCUAAUACCGUAUAACAAUAGCAACCGCAUGGUUGCUACUUAAAAGAUGGUUCUGCUAUCACUAAGAGAUGGUCCCGCGGUGCAUUAGUUAGUUGGUGAGGUAAUGGCUCACCAAGACGAUGAUGCAUAGCCGAGUUGAGAGACUGAUCGGCCACAAUGGGACUGAGACACGGCCCAUACUCCUACGGGAGGCAGCAGUAGGGAAUCUUCCACAAUGGGCGAAAGCCUGAUGGAGCAACGCCGCGUGUGUGAUGAAGGGUUUCGGCUCGUAAAACACUGUUGUAAGAGAAGAAUGACAUUGAGAGUAACUGUUCAAUGUGUGACGG